RNAcentral lists this ribosomal RNA (565 nucleotides) under Sitophilus zeamais (maize weevil). RNAcentral describes it as "eukaryotic LSU rRNA". It matches the Rfam family "Eukaryotic large subunit ribosomal RNA", at positions 284 to 645 of the family's 3401-position model. Lineage: Eukaryota; Metazoa; Arthropoda; Insecta; Coleoptera; Curculionidae. The record is from RNAcentral.
AGCCCUAAGUGGGUGGUAAACUCCAUCUAAGGCUAAAUAUGACCACGAGACCGAUAGCGAACAAGUACCGUGAGGGAAAGUUGAAAAGCACUUUGAAGAGAGAGUUCAAGAGUACGUGAAACCGUUUAGGGGUAAACCUGAGAAACCCGAAAGGUCGAAGGGAGAAAUUCAUUCGCGUUUCGUCAUCGGCGUUCGGCGAUCGAGUGACGGGGGACGUUCGCGUUCUCCGCGCCUUUCGUUGUCCGAUCCGGAGACGAACGCGUGCACUUUUCUCCUGGUAGGACGUCGCGAUCCGUCGAGUGUCGGUCUAAGGCUCGCGGUGGAGCCCGUAGAUGUCGUCUCACGACGAUAUUUGCGGACCCGCGUGUUCCCGGCCGACUCGCUCGACGGUAUACGAAAGGUUUAAGGCCGCUCCUUAGAGCGUUCGACUCGCAGCAAGCGCGUCAGAUGUCGUCGGUGAUCGGACCUAGUGCCGGUCCCGACCUCUGGCGACUGUUGGCCGCGAAGUUCUCGAACAGACCUUAUCAAAACCGAUCUGCGACGCUAUAGCUUUGGGUACUUUCAG